GACGAACGCUGGCGGCGUGCUUAACACAUGCAAGUCGAACGGAAAGGCCCUGCUUGCAGGGUACUCGAGUGGCGAACGGGUGAGUAACACGUGGGUGAUCUGCCCUGCACUUCGGGAUAAGCCUGGGAAACUGGGUCUAAUACCGGAUAGGAGCCAUUGUUACUGUGAUGGUUGGAGAGUUUUUUCGGUGUAGGAUGAGCUCGCGGCCUAUCAGCUUGUUGGUGGGGUAAUGGCCUACCAAGGCGGCGACGGGUAGCCGGCCUGAGAGGGUGGACGGCCACAUUGGGACUGAGAUACGGCCCAGACUCCUACGGGAGGCAGCAGUGGGGAAUAUUGCACAAUGGGCGCAAGCCUGAUGCAGCGACGCCGCGUGGGGGAUGACGGCCUUCGGGUUGUAAACUGCUUUCGCUAGGGACGAAGCUUUUUGUGACGGUACCUAGAAAAGAAGCACCGGCUAACUACGUG
This 465-nucleotide ribosomal RNA is filed under the name uncultured bacterium. RNAcentral's name for it is "partial 16S ribosomal RNA". It matches the Rfam family "Bacterial small subunit ribosomal RNA", at positions 28 to 507 of the family's 1533-position model. The record is from RNAcentral.